UUAAAGAAGGUCAGCAGUCACUCUCAAAUACUUCUGAAUCAAGCUCGUGCUUUUCCUUUGGUGGCUGAGGGACUGUGAUAUUUGUGGUGGCUAUGGGGUGCAAAUGUAUAGCCAUGUAGCUCUUUUGUGGAUGGCUCCUAGUAUCCAGAGAGAGCUGAGAAAUACUGGAAUUUCUUCGUGAUUUUACUUUAAAGAAGAUAAUUUUUUGCACACCUUCAACUGUCCCAGGUGGACCAAUGGACAUUGUUAAGGAUGCUGAUUUACAAGUGGAAUGAAUCCCAAGGGAGGCUUAUCAGUGGACAAGGUACCUAAGACGUGGAGAUGCACUGAAAAGAAAAUAAUUCAGAUGCCCAGGAUGAGUCCAGAGUAUAUGAUAAUGAAGAACAUUUGCUUGGCUGUGAACACCACCAGAAGGUAACUGUUUGUCAUAAAAUAAACAGGAUCUUCUCUGUCA
This 454-nucleotide long non-coding RNA is filed under the name Numida meleagris (helmeted guineafowl). RNAcentral describes it as "lncRNA (ENSNMEG00000020987.1)". The record is from RNAcentral. Lineage: Eukaryota; Metazoa; Chordata; Aves; Galliformes; Numididae.